UUUAUCAUCUCCCAAGGGCCAUUUCAAAAUUCCCGUCAUUUUCCUCUAUAAGUAUCCUUCUUAUCGCAUAACAACCGAAAUAUCCGUACACUUGACAGUUUUCGGUCCAAAUUUUAAAAACUUUGCAAAACCUUUAAAAAAAAAAAAAGGAAAUCUGUAUCUCUCUCUAAUCUAAACCUUUUGAGAAUUAGAAUUAGAAAGAGAUUCCGGGAUUUGAGCAUUUCGAGGCAAAAAGGUUACUCCUCACUGUUAUGUAAAAAAAUAUUGUACAUUAAAUUCCAAAAGAGAGCGAAAAUGCGAAGUGCGAUGGAGUGAGCAUGCACUGAGUCGGAAUUGAAUCGCUGGAUAUCGAAGCUGAAAGAGAGAAAAAAGAGAGUCGGGGUUAGGGUUUUCUGGUGUGUGAAAAGAUUCGAAUCGAGAAGAAGAGAGAGGCUAGGGUUUUGGCGGUGAAGAUGACGGAGGUCGUAUUACAUAUAUACGAUGUGACGAACAGUGGAUCGGAUAAAACGAACAGCACGAUCGUUCAAAUCAACAAGAUCUUCAAGGAUGGAAUCGGCCUCGGCGGCAUCUUUCACAGCGCCGUUCAGGUAUAUGGAGAUGAAGAAUGGUCUUUUGGCUUCUGUGAGCAAGGUUCUGGGGUUUUUAGUUGUCCUUCUAGCAAAAAUCCAAUGUACACAUAUCGUGAGUUCAUGGUCCUUGGAAGAACUAACUUUUCAAUAUUCAAGGUAAACCAGAUCUUGCGGGAACUUAGUAGAGAAUGGCCUGGAAGUUCCUAUGACUUGUUAUCCAAAAAUUGCAACCACUUCUGUGAUGAGUUCUGCGAAAGGCUUGGUGUCCAAAAGCUUCCAGGUUGGGUUAAUCGUUUUGCCAAUGCUGGUGAUGCUGCUAUAGAAAUAGCAGAAAACACUGCUGUACGGUUGAGACAAGCCAAGACUGAGAUAGUAUCAGCCAGCAAAGUGGCAUAUCGAUUCCUUGUUGGUGUUACUUCUGGUUCUAGUGGUAGUAGCGAUUCCCCUGGCAAUUCAAACAGAGGAACUCCCAGAUUUCAAGCAGCUUGGUUCAAAAACCUCAUCACUACUGGUGCCAAACCAUCGAGCAGUUCUGAAAUUGAGACUCAGGAUGGCAAUAUCCUCCAACAGCACCAGCAACAGAAUUCUGCCCGGACAGUGCGACAAAAUUCUCAAGAUUCGGAAAGACCGCUACGACAGAGUUUUCAAGAUUUGGAACGACCAUUGCAACAGAAUUCACAAGAUUCAGAACAACCACUGCAACAGAAUUCACGGCAUGAAAUAUGACGAAAAUGUUUUGUGUAAGUCUUCUUAUGUGUACUAGUUGAAACUCUGCAAAGCCAAUCAAGUAGCUAUUCAUUGUGUAUGAAUGUAAAAUGUUCAUUUGUUGCCCCAGUUGAAAUUUUCAAAAUUAUACCACGUGGACUGAAGUACAUGGAAAAGACUCAAUCGAGUACUCUUUCUGAAAACUCUCAUCUCGUGCGUGGGGCUGGGCCAGUGUUCAUUUGUUCCCACUAGAGAUAGCCAAUGUGUAGGCAAUCCUGGCAGCGCAAGCACCUCGACAGUUAGCAAUAACCAACAGUCAAUUUGUUUAAGAGGCGUUGAAGGGUUUUCAACUUGUUAAACGUGAUUGUGGGUUUAUGCACAUCCUGCAAGUUGUAAUAACUGUGCAGUAAUGCAAGCAUCUAAUGUGGGAUAAGCAGGGAGCAGCAACUCAACUACCACCACAGCAUAACCAGAGGUGGGGAGUAGAAAUUUUUAGGAGAGACUGAAAAUUGAACUAUUAGUAUUUCUACUAUAUAAACAUGGGAUACCGGGUUUAUCUACAGAGCUCUAGUAACAGCUA
Theobroma cacao (cacao) is the source of this 1854-nucleotide non-coding RNA. The record is from RefSeq and is a predicted model, not a curated record. Lineage: Eukaryota; Viridiplantae; Streptophyta; Magnoliopsida; Malvales; Malvaceae.